Non-coding RNA from Microcebus murinus (gray mouse lemur), 149 nucleotides. The record is from RefSeq and is a predicted model, not a curated record. NCBI's taxonomy places the organism in Eukaryota, Metazoa, Chordata, Mammalia, Primates, Cheirogaleidae.
AACCCAGCCCUCAGAAACAAAAGAAGUGGAGCCAGAGCCAACUGAGGACAAAGAUGUGGAAGCUGAUGAAGAGGACAGCAGGAAAAAAGAUACUUCUGAUGAUCUAGAUGACUUGAACUUCUUUAAUCAAAAGAAAAAGAAGAAAAAAA